This 795-nucleotide ribosomal RNA is filed under the name uncultured archaeon. RNAcentral describes it as "bacterial SSU rRNA". It matches the Rfam family "Archaeal small subunit ribosomal RNA", at positions 85 to 879 of the family's 1478-position model. The record is from RNAcentral.
ACGGCUCAGUAACACGUGGACAACCUACCCUGAGGUCGGGGAUAAACCCGGGAAACUGGGUAUAAUACCCGAUAGAUCUAGAUCGCUGGAAUGCUUUUAGGUCUAAAGUUCCGACGCCUCAGGAUGGGUCUGCGGCCUAUCAGGGUAGUAGUGGGUGUAAAGUACCUACUAGCCUACGACGGGUACGGGUUGUGAGAGCAAGAGCCCGGAGAUGGAUUCUGAGACACGAAUCCAGGCCCUACGGGGUGCAGCAGGCGCGAAACCUUUACAAUGCUGGCAACAGCGAURAGGGGACCUCGAGUGCUACGAUACAAUCGUGGCUGUCUAGUUGCCUAAAAAGCAAUUGAUAGCAAGGGCCGGGCAAGACCGGUGCCAGCCGCCGCGGUAACACCGGCGGCUCGAGUGGUAACCGCUAUUAUUGGGUCUAAAGGGUCUGUAGCCGGCUUAGUUAGUCUCUUGAGAAAUCUGGCCGCUCAACGGUCAGGCGUUCAGGGGAUACUGCUAAAGCUCGAGACCGGGAGAGGUGAGAGGUACUUCAGGGGUAGGGGUGAAAUCUUGUAAUCCUUGAAGGACCACCAGUGGCGAAGGCGUCUCACCAGAACGGAUCUGACGGCAAGGGACGAAAGCUAGGGGCACGAACCGGAUUAGAUACCCGGGUAGUCCUAGCCGUAAACGAUACUCGCUAGGUGUCGGCCACGGUGCGACCGUGGUCGGUGCCGUAGGGAAGCCGUGAAGCGAGCCACCUGGGAAGUACGGCCGCAAGGCUGAAACUUAAAGGAAUUGGCGGGGGAGCAC